RNAcentral lists this ribosomal RNA (585 nucleotides) under Pseudomonas sp. StFRB265. Its description in RNAcentral is "bacterial SSU rRNA". It matches the Rfam family "Bacterial small subunit ribosomal RNA", at positions 102 to 683 of the family's 1533-position model. The record is from RNAcentral. Lineage: Bacteria; Pseudomonadati; Pseudomonadota; Gammaproteobacteria; Pseudomonadales; Pseudomonadaceae.
ACGGGUGAGUAAUGCCUAGGAAUCUGCCUGGUAGUGGGGGACAACGUUUCGAAAGGAACGCUAAUACCGCAUACGUCCUACGGGAGAAAGCAGGGGACCUUCGGGCCUUGCGCUAUCAGAUGAGCCUAGGUCGGAUUAGCUAGUUGGUGAGGUAAUGGCUCACCAAGGCGACGAUCCGUAACUGGUCUGAGAGGAUGAUCAGUCACACUGGAACUGAGACACGGUCCAGACUCCUACGGGAGGCAGCAGUGGGGAAUAUUGGACAAUGGGCGAAAGCCUGAUCCAGCCAUGCCGCGUGUGUGAAGAAGGUCUUCGGAUUGUAAAGCACUUUAAGUUGGGAGGAAGGGCAGUAAGUUAAUACCUUGCUGUUUUGACGUUACCGACAGAAUAAGCACCGGCUAACUCUGUGCCAGCAGCCGCGGUAAUACAGAGGGUGCAAGCGUUAAUCGGAAUUACUGGGCGUAAAGCGCGCGUAGGUGGUUCGUUAAGUUGGAUGUGAAAUCCCCGGGCUCAACCUGGGAACUGCAUCCAAAACUGGCGAGCUAGAGUAGGGCAGAGGGUGGUGGAAUUUCCUGUGUAGCGGUG